GCAAGUCGUACGAAAAUAGUUCUGUUGGGAGCUUUUUUAGUGGCAAACGGGUGCGUAACGCGUAAGAAUCUGCCCUUAGGAAGAGGAUAACUAGUAGAAAUAUUAGCUAAUACUCUAUAUGCCAUUGGUGAAAGAAGUAAUUCGCCUAAGGAGGAGCUUGCGUCUGAUUAGCUAGUUGGUAGGGUAAGGGCCUACCAAGGCGACGAUCAGUAGCUGGUUUGAGAGGAUGAUC
RNAcentral lists this ribosomal RNA (232 nucleotides) under uncultured bacterium. RNAcentral's name for it is "partial 16S ribosomal RNA". It matches the Rfam family "Bacterial small subunit ribosomal RNA", at positions 57 to 305 of the family's 1533-position model. The record is from RNAcentral.